GAUGAACGCUGGCGGUCUGCUUAACACAUGCAAGUCGAACGAGAAAGCACUUCGGUGUGAGUAAAGUGGCGCACGGGUGAGUAACGCGUAGAUGAUAUGCCUUAUAGUGGGGGACAACAUCGUGAAAACGGUGCUAAUACCGCAUAAGCUUAGUGACAUUGAAAAGCUAAGGAAAGGGGCUUCUGGUCUCGCUAUAAGAUUGGGUCUGCGUUGACAUUAGCUUGUGUGGGUAAUGGCCUACCAAGGCGACGAUGUCUAGCUGGUCUGAGAGGAUGAUCAGUCACACUGGAACUGAGACACGGUCCAGACUCCUACGGGAGGCAGCGAGUAGGGAAUAUUGCACAAUGGAGGAAACUCUGAUGCGAGCAA
RNAcentral lists this ribosomal RNA (369 nucleotides) under uncultured delta proteobacterium. RNAcentral's name for it is "bacterial SSU rRNA". It matches the Rfam family "Bacterial small subunit ribosomal RNA", at positions 28 to 394 of the family's 1533-position model. Lineage: Bacteria; Deltaproteobacteria. The record is from RNAcentral.